CCGCCUGCCCAGUGACUAUAUGUUCAACGGCCGCGGUAUUCUGACCGUGCGAAGGUAGCGUAAUCACUUGUCUUUUAAAUAAAGACUGGUAUGAAUGGCCUCACGAGAGCCUUACUGUCUCCCUUAUUUAAUCAGUGAAACUGAUCUUCCCGUGCAGAAGCGGGAAUUUUAUCAUAAGACGAGAAGACCCCAUGGAGCUUAAAACCUAAAAUUACCUGCUCAAACAUAUUUCCUACGGGACCACCCUUUAGCCUUGCAGAAGAUAAUUUAAGUUUUCGGUUGGGGUGACCACGGAGAAAAAUAAAUCCUCCUUGAUGAAUAAUUAAUUUAAACCACGAGCCACUGCUCUAAGUAUUAGAACUUCUAACUAAAUUGAUCCAAUAAUUUUGAUCAACGGACCAAGUUACCCUGGGGAUAACAGCGCAAUCUAUUUCAAGAGUCCAUAUCGACAAAUGGGUUUACGACCUCGAUGUUGGAUCAGGGUAUCCCAGUGGUGCAGCCGCUACUUAAGGUUCGUUUGUUCAACGAUUAAAACCCU
RNAcentral lists this ribosomal RNA (538 nucleotides) under Pelobates fuscus (common spadefoot toad). RNAcentral's name for it is "partial 16S ribosomal RNA". It matches the Rfam family "Bacterial large subunit ribosomal RNA", at positions 1854 to 2597 of the family's 2925-position model. The record is from RNAcentral. Lineage: Eukaryota; Metazoa; Chordata; Amphibia; Anura; Pelobatidae.